GCCAGUCUCUGCAUAAUAAAAUGAUUAUGAGCCUAAAUUUUACAAGUACCAGUCCGUUGAAUAUAGAAACGUGAUACUCAUGCUUUUCCAUCCUAAACAACAGAACUAUCUGCACUUCGAUUUACAAAUUCAUUGGCUUUUUCCGACAGUGCCCACAACUGUUAGUUGUUACAGGUAAAAAAAGCAGUAUGUGAUAGCGAACUCUCAGGAACGGUCGGGUUAGAAGAGGGAGGCCUAGGUGGAAGCGGGCUCUUCAGGAUUUGGAAUCGAAAACCGAUCUGACGGUGGAGAAUUUUCUUUGGAAGACUUGGGUUUCCGAGGGGGUCUGCGGCCCUUGAUUUCGGCACCGUUAAGGCUAGAAGAAGAAGAAAGUGGUGGAUCGACGAGAUGGGUAUCUCGCAAGACAGAGUUUCUUGGCUGCUUCACGUUAGAGAGGAAGAGCGAAAUUUUGGAGGUAUAGGAAGAGCGAAACGGAAUUUGAGAGAUAGGAAAUCGCAGGGUUUGAGGAAGACGAAGAAGAGAAGGGGAGAUGAGAGGCAGAGUAAACCGAUCGAGAA
Cucumis sativus (cucumber) is the source of this 557-nucleotide long non-coding RNA. RefSeq lists it as uncharacterized. The record is from RefSeq and is a predicted model, not a curated record. NCBI's taxonomy places the organism in Eukaryota, Viridiplantae, Streptophyta, Magnoliopsida, Cucurbitales, Cucurbitaceae. The transcript has 2 exons.